Molecule: ribosomal RNA, 459 nt
Filed under: uncultured bacterium
Lineage: Bacteria
Description: partial 16S ribosomal RNA
Rfam family: Bacterial small subunit ribosomal RNA
Source: RNAcentral
CUACGGGUCGCAGCAGUGAGGAAUAUUGGUCAAUGGGCGAAAGCCUGAACCAGCCAUGCCGCGUGAAGGAUGACGGCCCUAUGGGUUGUAAACUUCUUUUAUACGGGAAGAAACACCUCUACGUGUAGAGGUUUGACGGUACCGUACGAAUAAGCAUCGGCUAACUCCGUGCCAGCAGCCGCGGUAAUACGGAGGAUGCAAGCGUUAUCCGGAUUUAUUGGGUUUAAAGGGUACGUAGGCGGAAACUUAAGUCAGUAGUGAAAUCCCGCAGCUUAACUGUGGAACUGUUAUUGAUACUGGGUUUCUUGAAUAUUGUUGAGGUAGGCGGAAUAAGUAAUGUAGCGGUGACAUGCUUAGAUAUUACUUAGAACACCGAUUGCGAAGGCAGCUUACUAAGCAAUUAUUGACGCUGAGGUACGAAAGCGUGGGGGGCGAACAGGAUUAGAUACCCGCGUAGUC